UUAAGCGACUAAGCGUACACGGUGGAUGCCCUGGCAGUCAGAGGCGAUGAAGGACGUGCUAAUCUGCGAUAAGCGUCGGUAAGGUGAUAUGAACCGUUAUAACCGGCGAUUUCCGAAUGGGGAAACCCAGUGUGUUUCGACACACUAUCAUUAACUGAAUCCAUAGGUUAAUGAGGCGAACCGGGGGAACUGAAACAUCUAAGUACCCCGAGGAAAAGAAAUCAACCGAGAUUCCCCCAGUAGCGGCGAGCGAACGGGGAGCAGCCCAGAGCCUGAAUCAGUGUGUGUGUUAGUGGAAGCGUCUGGAAAGGCGCGCGAUACAGGGUGACAGCCCCGUACACAAAAAUGCACAUACUGUGAGCUCGAUGAGUAGGGCGGGACACGUGGUAUCCUGUCUGAAUAUGGGGGGACCAUCCUCCAAGGCUAAAUACUCCUGACUGACCGAUAGUGAACCAGUACCGUGAGGGAAAGGCGAAAAGAACCCCGGCGAGGGGAGUGAAAAAGAACCUGAAACCGUGUACGUACAAGCAGUGGGAGCACGCUUCGGCGUGUGACUGCGUACCUUUUGUAUAAUGGGUCAGCGACUUAUAUUCUGUAGCAAGGUUAACCGAAUAGGGGAGCCGAAGGGAAACCGAGUCUUAACUGGGCGUUAAGUUGCAGGGUAUAGACCCGAAACCCGGUGAUCUAGCCAUGGGCAGGUUGAAGGUUGGGUAACACUAACUGGAGGACCGAACCGACUAAUGUUGAAAAAUUAGCGGAUGACUUGUGGCUGGGGGUGAAAGGCCAAUCAAACCGGGAGAUAGCUGGUUCUCCCCGAAAGCUAUUUAGGUAGCGCCUCGUGAAUUCAUCUCCGGGGGUAGAGCACUGUUUCGGCAAGGGGGUCAUCCCGACUUACCAACCCGAUGCAAACUGCGAAUACCGGAGAAUGUUAUCACGGGAGACACACGGCGGGUGCUAACGUCCGUCGUGAAGAGGGAAACAACCCAGACCGCCAGCUAAGGUCCCAAAGUCAUGGUUAAGUGGGAAACGAUGUGGGAAGGCCCAGACAGCCAGGAUGUUGGCUUAGAAGCAGCCAUCAUUUAAAGAAAGCGUAAUAGCUCACUGGUCGAGUCGGCCUGCGCGGAAGAUGUAACGGGGCUAAACCAUGCACCGAAGCUGCGGCAGCGACACUAUGUGUUGUUGGGUAGGGGAGCGUUCUGUAAGCCUGUGAAGGUGUACUGUGAGGAAUGCUGGAGGUAUCAGAAGUGCGAAUGCUGACAUAAGUAACGAUAAAGCGGGUGAAAAGCCCGCUCGCCGGAAGACCAAGGGUUCCUGUCCAACGUUAAUCGGGGCAGGGUGAGUCGACCCCUAAGGCGAGGCCGAAAGGCGUAGUCGAUGGGAAACAGGUUAAUAUUCCUGUACUUGGUGUUACUGCGAAGGGGGGACGGAGAAGGCUAUGUUGGCCGGGCGACGGUUGUCCCGGUUUAAGCGUGUAGGCUGGUUUUCCAGGCAAAUCCGGAAAAUCAAGGCUGAGGCGUGAUGACGAGGCACUACGGUGCUGAAGCAACAAAUGCCCUGCUUCCAGGAAAAGCCUCUAAGCAUCAGGUAACAUUAAAUCGUACCCCAAACCGACACAGGUGGUCAGGUAGAGAAUACCAAGGCGCUUGAGAGAACUCGGGUGAAGGAACUAGGCAAAAUGGUGCCGUAACUUCGGGAGAAGGCACGCUGAUAUGUAGGUGAAGUCCCUCGCGGAUGGAGCUGAAAUCAGUCGAAGAUACCAGCUGGCUGCAACUGUUUAUUAAAAACACAGCACUGUGCAAACACGAAAGUGGACGUAUACGGUGUGACGCCUGCCCGGUGCCGGAAGGUUAAUUGAUGGGGUUAGCGGUAACGCGAAGCUCUUGAUCGAAGCCCCGGUAAACGGCGGCCGUAACUAUAACGGUCCUAAGGUAGCGAAAUUCCUUGUCGGGUAAGUUCCGACCUGCACGAAUGGCGUAAUGAUGGCCAGGCUGUCUCCACCCGAGACUCAGUGAAAUUGAACUCGCUGUGAAGAUGCAGUGUACCCGCGGCAAGACGGAAAGACCCCGUGAACCUUUACUAUAGCUUGACACUGAACAUUGAGCCUUGAUGUGUAGGAUAGGUGGGAGGCUUUGAAGUGUGGACGCCAGUCUGCAUGGAGCCGACCUUGAAAUACCACCCUUUAAUGUUUGAUGUUCUAACGUUGACCCGU
This 2209-nucleotide ribosomal RNA is filed under the name Escherichia coli. RNAcentral's name for it is "bacterial LSU rRNA". It matches the Rfam family "Bacterial large subunit ribosomal RNA", at positions 1 to 2236 of the family's 2925-position model. The record is from RNAcentral. Lineage: Bacteria; Pseudomonadati; Pseudomonadota; Gammaproteobacteria; Enterobacterales; Enterobacteriaceae.